AAGUCUGGCACUGUGGCACUCUCUUGAUUACAGCAAGACAUAUCAUACCACCGUCUUCACAAAAUACUCUGAUUCAGCAUCUGUCGUAAAUGCUACUUGAACCUUGCAGCACCCAUGCUAGUUCAGGGACGAUGAAAUUUAUAGUGACUGGAUUUAAAGAAUUCUCGGGCGUGGAAGAAAAUCCAACGGAAUACAUUGUCAAUAAUCUACAAGACUAUCUCAGAUCGAGAGGGAAACCCCUGCCAGGUGAAUAUCUUACCUGUGCAGCCGAUUCAGAAACAACGUGUGUGCAAGGUUGGUGAUGUUGUUUCUUAUAACAUAGAUAUAUUCUAGAAUGUGUUUACAGGUGGUGCAGAAGCUGUGACGUUCACGGCUCUGAAGGUCGCUGGCAAAGAAGUCUCGGAAUGGCUUGCACUAGCUGCAAAAACUGCAUCCGAGAGCACGCCGGAUGAUGCAGAGA
This 460-nucleotide long non-coding RNA is filed under the name Coccomyxa subellipsoidea. RNAcentral describes it as "long non-coding RNA (CSUB_LNC000535)". Lineage: Eukaryota; Viridiplantae; Chlorophyta; Trebouxiophyceae; Coccomyxaceae. The record is from RNAcentral.